This 437-nucleotide ribosomal RNA is filed under the name uncultured bacterium. RNAcentral describes it as "partial 16S ribosomal RNA". It matches the Rfam family "Bacterial small subunit ribosomal RNA", at positions 28 to 507 of the family's 1533-position model. The record is from RNAcentral.
AGCGAACGCUGGCGGCAGGCUUAACACAUGCAAGUCGAGCGGGCAUCCCCGGGGUGUGUGCGGCAGACGGGUGAGGAACGCGUGGGUACGUGCUCUGUGACCUGCACUAACUCUGGGGAAAUUGUCAUAAUACCGGAUCCGAGCGCGAGUAGAAAGGUCUAUUUGCGGAUGGAUCGGCGCGCGUCUGAUUAGCUGGUUGGUGAGGUUACGGCUCACCAAGGCGACGUGCGGUAGCUGGUCUGCGAGGAGGUUCAGCGACACCGGAGCUGGGACACAGCCCAGAAUGCUACGCGAGGCAGCGGUGGGGAAUAUUAUACGAUGGAGGCAAACCUAGUCCAGCCAUGCCGCGGAUGUCAUGACGGCCGUAGUGUUGUAAAGCUCUUUGCGCCGGGACGAGAAUGACGGUACCGGGGGAAGAAGCCCCGGCUAACUUCGUG